UUUGGAGGGCAAGUCUGGUGCCAGCAGCCGCGGUAAUUCCAGCUCCAAUAGCGUAUAUUAAAGUUGUUGCAGUUAAAAAGCUCGUAGUUGAAUUUCGGGAUUGGCGCAUCGGUCGUGCCUCACGGGGUAUGAACUGGUGCAGUCAAUUUCUCACCUUCUGGAGAACCGCGAUGUCCUUAAUUGGAUGCCGCGGGGAACCAGGACCUUUACUUUGAAAAAAUUAGA
RNAcentral lists this ribosomal RNA (225 nucleotides) under uncultured Glomus. Its description in RNAcentral is "partial small subunit ribosomal RNA". It matches the Rfam family "Eukaryotic small subunit ribosomal RNA", at positions 547 to 770 of the family's 1831-position model. Lineage: Eukaryota; Fungi; Glomeromycota; Glomeromycetes; Glomerales; Glomeraceae. The record is from RNAcentral.